AGAGCUGAAGGUUUGGGCGGGAUAUGAAGUUAACGAAAAGUUUGGACAAAACGCAAGGUACAGUGCCCUCUCUCUUCUCUACGUUCCCUAUCUCUUCUUUGAGCCCUCCGCGUACGUGUCUUCUCUUUUCUCUAGUUUGAGCCCUUCCGCGUGCCUUCGUUGCGCCUCUUUCCCGUGAACACAGCUGCUACCACCGAACAGCAACAUUUUGGUACUUUCAAGGACCAGCUUCUCUUAGUCCACAAGCAAGCCUCCAACAACACUUUUAUCACUGAAAUGGGGUACACCUGAAGUGGUUUCAUCUACCAAAGGUUGCUGCGCCUAAAUUGGUUGUCACAGUGAACAACAAUAUUGAAUGAAUUCUGCCUUUAACACAGCACUGGAAUUUGUGAAGUCAAAGCUACAAUACUUGGGAAUUUGCUAUGAAAAAUCAUAGCAAAUUGACUAAGAAGGUCACUGAACAAGUAAGAAUACUUGCCAAGGAUGAAGACGAGGAACUAACUGAUGUGAACCCACCGUAUGACCAAGCAAAGGCAUUUGGUAAAACAAACAUUGAUGUUGAUCGCAUUGCUGCUAGGUUACCAUGUGGCAGCAAAGGAUUCCUUUUGAUGUAUGCUCGCUGGAAAAAGCUUGAAAGACACUUGUACAACGAACGCAAAUUGCGGUUUGAUAUAACUCAAAUUCCUGAUGUCUAUGAUUCGUGCUAGUAAGUCAUCUGUUUCAAAUCCAUAUUGGAUCCAAGUAGUAAGAAAGCAUGACAUCACUUUACACACAUAUUUGUAAUUUUUGUAUUUCAAAUGGAAAUAUUAUCGUUUAUUAUUGUUAACUUUGUUUACUUCUUUGUUCCUUAAUCUCAUUCCUUUUGCCUUACCACCCCCCUUUAAAAUCCUCCCCAAACAUCACUUGGGUUUGUUUGUAAGAGUGAAUCUGUGCAACAUCCAAGACAAUUGAAGUAAUCGGUAAUAAAUGAAUUGCCAUAAACUUGGGAGGAAGAAAAUGUAUUCUACUGACUCAGGCAAGUUGGGAGGAAGAAAAUGUAUUCUGAAAAUGUUCUAUUCUCAUUGUAUAAUAUGAAUUUACAAAAGAGUAUUUAUAGACAUUUAGAGCCAUAACAGAAUUGGCAUGCGCAUAGUGUCAAGUAGCUGAUGUGCGCUGUUGUGCAAGUGGUAUGGCUGAGUGAGUUAGAAUAUUUCCUGAGCACUAUAAUACAACCAAUCAAAAACAAUAUAGCACAACCACAAAGGUGUCUUCAAGUCUACUCUACUUGACUCCAAAAUCUUCUAGACAGUUGGAUAAAAUGGUGGAGCCUUG
This is an RNA transcript of Juglans microcarpa x Juglans regia, 1311 nucleotides long. It is a transcript of the gene named inositol hexakisphosphate and diphosphoinositol-pentakisphosphate kinase VIP1-like, with no coding region annotated. The record is from RefSeq and is a predicted model, not a curated record. The transcript is spliced from 3 exons. Lineage: Eukaryota; Viridiplantae; Streptophyta; Magnoliopsida; Fagales; Juglandaceae.